This 362-nucleotide ribosomal RNA is filed under the name uncultured bacterium. RNAcentral describes it as "partial 16S ribosomal RNA". It matches the Rfam family "Bacterial small subunit ribosomal RNA", at positions 338 to 697 of the family's 1533-position model. The record is from RNAcentral.
CCUACGGGGGGCUGCAGUGAGGAAUAUUGGUCAAUGGCCGGAAGGCUGAACCAGCCAUGCCGCGUGAAGGUCAGUGCCCUAUGGGCGUUAAACUUCUUUUGUGCGGGAGCAAUAAUGGUCACGUGUCGCCAGACGAGAGUACCGUACGAAUAAGCAUCGGCUAACUCCGUGCCAGCAGCCGCGGUAAUAAGGGGGAUGCAAGCGUUAUCCGGAUUGAUUGGGUUUGAAGGGUGCGGAGGCUGGGAGGUAAGUCAGCGGUGAAAUGCCCCCGGUCAACGGGGUGAAGUGCCAUUGAUACUGGCUUGCUGGAAUGCGGAUGCGGUGGGAGGAAUGUGAGGUGUAGCGGUGAAAUGCGUAGAUAU